This 973-nucleotide non-coding RNA is filed under the name Platalea leucorodia (Eurasian spoonbill). Its description in RNAcentral is "12S ribosomal RNA". It matches the Rfam family "Bacterial small subunit ribosomal RNA". The record is from RNAcentral. Lineage: Eukaryota; Metazoa; Chordata; Aves; Pelecaniformes; Threskiornithidae.
AAAGACUUAGUCCUAACCUUACCGUUAAUUCUUGCUAGACAUAUACAUGCAAGUAUCUGCACUCCAGUGUGAAUGCCCUCCACGCCCUACUAGGGUAUGAGGAGCGGGUAUCAGGCACACCCAUUAGACUGUAGCCCAAGACGCCUUGCUUAGCCACACCCCCACGGGUACUCAGCAGUAAUUAACAUUAAGCAAUAAGUGUAAACUUGACUUAGUUAUAGCAACACUAAGGGUCGGUAAAUCUUGUGCCAGCCACCGCGGUCACACAAGAGACCCAAAUUAACAGUAACGCGGCGUAAAGAGUGGCACCACGUUAUCCUAGCAACUAAGAUCGAAAUGCAGCUGAGCUGUCAUAAGCCUAGGAUGCACUUAAGACCGCCCUUAAGACGAUCUUAGCCCUCAGGACCAAUUGAACUCCACGAAAGCUAGGGUACAAACUGGGAUUAGAUACCCCACUAUGCCUAGCCCUAAAUCUUGAUACUUUUUCACUAAAGUAUCCGCCUGAGAACUACGAGCACAAACGCUUAAAACUCUAAGGACUUGGCGGUGCCUUAAACCCACCUAGAGGAGCCUGUUCUAUAACCGAUAACCCACGAUACACCCAACCACCUCUUGCCAAAGCAGCCUACAUACCGCCGUCGCCAGUCCACCUUCCUUGAGAGUGUAACAGUGGACAUAAUAGCCUCAACCUCGCUAACAAGACAGGUCAAGGUAUAGCUUAUGGGGUGGAAGAAAUGGGCUACAUUUUCUAGCAUAGAAAACUUUCACGGAAGUGGGUGUGAAAUCGCCUACAAGAGGCGGAUUUAGCAGUAAAGAGAGAUAAUAGAGCUCUCUUUAAGUCGGCUCUGGGGCACGUACAUACCGCCCGUCACCCUCCUCACAAGCUACAAACCUUUAUAACUAAUACCCAAAUUAGCUGAAGAUGAGGUAAGUGGUAACAAGGUAAGUGUACCGGAAGGUGCACUUAGCAUAC